UAUUCCUUACUUUGUACAUUUCCAUAACUAUUUAUUGUACAAGAUAAUAGUUCUUCUCCAAAGAUGUGAAAUUCCAAAGUACUCUCUUACAGAAGGUUGAAGAUGCAUUAGUGUUAGCCUUACUGGUGAAGCAGUCGAAAAUUAUUUUUGUAGAGCUCUUCAGCCUUCAGACAUGUUAUGUAUAUUCUUCACUGCUUGUUUUUUUUUUUUUUUCACUAGAGGUGUUAAAUUUUGAAUUCAAACAAUUAUUUUGCAUAUCUUCCUACUAGAAUUCUUUACAGCAAAAUAAAAUUAACAAAUGGACCUGCUGGGUAAGGGAACAAAUGGAGCUUUGAUCCUAAAAAAAAAAAAAAAUCCUUUAGUAAGCAGUUUCUGCUGCUGCAUGUGAAUGCAUCCCAUUUGUACUUGGUCCUCAAGCAGUGUUGAAAAUUCAGUAGUUUCUGUGACCAAAACUUCAAAGGAAUAUAACAAUAUUCACACAGCCUUUGUGCUAAAGCAUCCCUUUAAAACGAAAGGUACAUAAGGCAGUUUACUCUAGCUUCUUUAUGUUUUGUUUACAAGUUUUUUUCUAUCUUACUUUUCUUCCAAACCACCUACCUAAAAUUUUAAAGGUAGUAAAAUCGCAAAUUCUCCAGCCUAUUCUGAUUCCUACUUGAGAAUGUUUUAUUUGAGUGUAAGUGAGCUACAUAUACAGUGCAGAGGAAAGAGAAUGUAAAACCACUUAAAAAAAUUCACUUAUGAAAGCAUCUCUCUGAAUUCGUAAGGAAAGGAAGGUUAUGCCCAUAAAGGAACUGUUAUAAAGAAUAUUCCUUCCAAAUUCUGUUGUUCAAAAUAAACUAACCACUAGCAAGCAGUUUUUUUGUCUUCAUACAAAAUUUCCCUUUUACUAUUUGCCAAACUGAAGAGCAUGGUAAUGCUAAUUUAAGAAAAGAACUGACUCAGCAUUUACCAGAAAGUUUAAUCUUGUUAUCAUAUUUUUAAGAAUGUAUAGGAGUAAAAGUUUUCAUAAUCAUCAGUACAGAAAUAAACAACUGAAAAAUGUUUAAAAUUUGGAAUGUCUUGAAACUCACUAAAAAGGUGGCCAAAUUGGGCUGCAAUUCUUCCAGGUUUCUUUUUUAUUUAUAUUAAGUAUUAGUUAAAAGCAAGCAGUUAAAAAUAUAGUUCACAUGGCUGCUCUUACCUGCUUGGAGACAAUGUGGUAUUGAACUCUAGUAAAGCCAAGUGGUAGUAAUGCAAAUUUACUUUGAUUGCAUUUCACAUUACUCCUUCAAAUACAGGCUUACAGACAGAGCUAUAUUACGUGAAUAUGCCUCAAUUUAGAAUUGUUAGAUUUUAUUACAUUUAUGGAAUGGGUUUCAUUCUGUGAACUUAUAUUAUUAAAAGUGAGUAUGUAAACUUCAGUAUUAUUAAUACCCUCCUAAGGGAGCUGACGUCUUUGAACAAAUAAUUCCUAACAGCAAAGUUUAUCUUAUAAUGGAAAGGGCAGAUCCUCAAUUUGAUAAAUCCCUAUAGCUCAAUUCAAAUAAAUACAACUCUAAGGUAUACUCUGUUGAGAAUCUAGCCUUCUGUUUUUAAUCUUUAUGAAUUUUUAAUAAAUGAAAUCCCAGAUUUUAAUUGCACUUUUAAAAAUUUUUUGUAUUUUGAGUAUAGCCUGUAAAAUUUAUGUUAUUAGAGACUUUGAAUGCAUUUUCUCAAACUAAAGAAAUAUGCUGCAAAUUCAGCAACAAAAACAAAACACACAAACAUUCUACCUAAAAAUGAGCUUGAAAAUGGGCAAUGUUAUUGCACAUCUUUAAAAGAUAAAAUUAUAUAUGAUAUUGUGUCCUAUUAGACAUGUCUAGAAAUAAAUGCAGAACAGCAAGAUAUGUAAAUUCAAAGCACUGUCUUUGUAUAGCUUAUGCGACUCCUUGUAACUAGCUUUACAACUAAAAUAUUAACUUAUUAACAUUUUCUUUAUUAAGCCUUCACUUAGCAGCCCUCUGUGAUGUGUCUUUCAGCCUUUGAAAUUUUGCAUUAGCUGCUACUGUUUUCACUGUACUGCAUGUAUUUGUGGCAUUAUCAGGCUAAUGAGAAACACUUUCAAAUAAACACUUAGGUGUAAUUUAAUUUUAUUUCACACCAGUGAGUGAAACAAAGGUUUGCUAUGCUGGUUUUUGUACUGUAGUUUUUCAUUUACUCAAGAGUCACUUUGCCACUAAGAACAAGGGAUUUUUCUAUCUUCCCUACUUUGAUACUUUAAUCCAGUAGUUUUAAUACGUGGAGGAAUCUACAACUGAUAACUAAGAAAACCAAGACUCUCAUCAAUUGUGUUAAUUAUAUGGGAGCAUGUUACAGCCUCGUAUUUAUUUUUUUUAGGAAACGCAAACCAAAAAAGCUUGAGAAAACCAUAUGGAUUUCUUGUAGCCUUGUGCUGCAAACCUUUGCAAAGUUGGCAUAAGCCCACUGUAAUUUGAAAUCCGACACAAAUGAACGUAGCUAAACUGCUGGAGGCCUCACUAGGUUCCAGCUGGUCUUUAGUAUGAAAAUGUGCCUUUAAAGGACACUGAAGGCAAUGGGGUCCAACAGCUGAAGCCUUCUCUACAGAAGAUCACUAUCUGAAGCACAGAAGGAAAACCUAUUCACUAGCUGCUUUUACUGGUAGUUCUGUACAAGAGAGAAAAAGGCGAUAAACUGCAAAUGGAUUCCAAACAUCUGAGAAAGAGAAUUAAAGUUGGAGGGCGCAACUCAGAGCAAAUGAUAUCAUUAAAAGUAUGAAGAGAAAAAAAAAAAAAAGUAAAUGGAGGGAGGCAGGGAAGGAAAGCUCUUUGUAAGAUCAGCAAGUAAGACAGGGAACCACAUUCUUUGAAGACAGGGCAAGCCAGAGCACAAGUUCACAUAGCAUAGAAUAUGUUUAAUGACACAAACUAAUAACAAUUAAGCCCCAGCAACAACUAAGAGGUAGCCUUUGCAACAAAGAUAAGCAUGUCAUCCCUGUUAACUAGCUAACUUGAUGCUUUUAUGUAGAUGUUGCCCUGAUCUAUACACAGAGUUCUCAAGUAGAUCACAAACACAGUCAAGGUGACGGGCUGUUUCUGGGUGCAGGCUGAAGGCUGAGUGCAGCUUUUAGGUUGGUCCGUCACCUCUAUGCUCUGUAGUGCAGAGACAGGUUAACACCACAGUGACUGAAAAAUCCUCCAAGGACAGGAAAGUCACUGACAAUUCAUUUGGGAAGGGAGAAACAUGUGGUGGGUCAACUUAUCACAGUACUAAGACUCAUGAAAAAUCUGCCAAAGAUCUAGAGCCAAGCGUACUGCAAAACGUGAAUUCAGAGAGACCAGAAACACUGCCAAAGGGGGACAAUAAGGUAAAAUAAGCAUUUAAUCUAUAAUAUUUAAAUUUCCAGUAAAACACCUGAAACCAGCAAAUCAAUUAAUGCUAAAUCUUAAAAUAAAAUGUAGUAGUCUUUUAAUAUAAAUUAUUCUGGAAAGAAGCUAAUGAAACCUUAAAGGUCCACCAGAAUUGUGACUGAGUUCAGGCAAGGACUCACUUUUUAAGUCUGCUGGUUGCCAAGGUUUUUUGGAUGCAUUUAUUCCCUUUGUGGAGACUAAAGAACACAGUUCUUUUAUGUGAAGUAUAUUCUUAUUAUUGAUAUACAAGCUUUCUUCGUAGCUUAUUACUGUGUGAUGUCUACAAGGUAUCUGACCAAAAUAAGGUGCUUACAAAAGACAGAAAUCCAAUAUGGGUUUUCAAAGCCUGUUUCAGUGAAGGUGGCUCCAAGAAUUACCGCUACUGAAAGGGUUAAACACGAAAAGCUCACAUCACUACUCAUGAAGAUAUUAAGCUUUCCCUUGAGUAGCUUACUGCAUCCAUUUCCAAUAUAAUUCUGUAUCCACCCAAGAAGUCCUGCAAUGUCAAAUGCCCAACUCUAUCUGUAAGUUAGAUGAUUACAAGAUAUAUAAAAAUCCCAAAGCCUUUAUUUGUAAGUUUAGCAUUACAGCAUUUACUGUUCAGAAUGACACAAUUAAGGCUGAUAA
Empidonax traillii (willow flycatcher) is the source of this 4013-nucleotide long non-coding RNA. RefSeq lists it as uncharacterized. The transcript is spliced from 2 exons. The record is from RefSeq and is a predicted model, not a curated record. Lineage: Eukaryota; Metazoa; Chordata; Aves; Passeriformes; Tyrannidae.